This 275-nucleotide long non-coding RNA is filed under the name Callithrix jacchus (white-tufted-ear marmoset). Its description in RNAcentral is "lncRNA (ENSCJAG00000085574.1)". The record is from RNAcentral. Lineage: Eukaryota; Metazoa; Chordata; Mammalia; Primates; Cebidae.
UUACUCCAUUUUUGCCAGAAUUGGAAACCUCAUCAGAAAUACUUCAAUUUAAGAGAAUUGGCUAAUUGAUUACAGUAUCGCCAGCAAGAAAAAAAAGAUUGACAUGCUACUAAAAUAAAGUUGAUAAAUAUAACAGCAAAAUGUUCAAAUCUGGAGACCAAAACCCAGGAUCUAGAUGCUGCAAUUUUGAGUGAGACAGAACAAGAGAAGGCUCUGCAUCAGGCCCAGGUUGGUAAAGCUUCUUUUAUAUUUGGGUCUUGAAACCCAGAAUAUUU